Molecule: ribosomal RNA, 301 nt
Filed under: uncultured bacterium
Lineage: Bacteria
Description: partial 16S ribosomal RNA
Rfam family: Bacterial small subunit ribosomal RNA
Source: RNAcentral
CAGCCGCCACGGGAAUACGGAGGGGGCUAGCGUUGUUCGGAACUACUGGGCGUAAAGCGCACGUAGGCGGCUUGGUAAGUUAGAGGUGAAAGCCUGGAGCUCAACUCCAGAAUUGCCUUUAAGACUGCCGAGCUAGCAGGUGAGAGAGGUAAGUGGAAUUCCGAGUGUAGAGGUGAAAUUCGUAGAUAUUCGGAAGAACACCAGUGGCGAAGGCGGCCAUCUGGGACAACACUGACGCUGAGGCACGAAAGCGUGGGGAGCAAACAGGAUUAGAUACCCCCGUAGUCCCUGUCUCUUAUAC